RNAcentral lists this small nuclear RNA (23 nucleotides) under Arabidopsis thaliana (thale cress). RNAcentral describes it as "snRNA_01131". Lineage: Eukaryota; Viridiplantae; Streptophyta; Magnoliopsida; Brassicales; Brassicaceae. The record is from RNAcentral.
ACCGCUUCAUUGAUUCCAGAAGC